CGCUCCCAGGUACUUCUUCACUUGCACACUCUUCUCUGCAAAUUCGAAAAGCUACCAUUCUCAAUAUGGUUCGCUUCACUUGUACACUUGUACAAAACAUUGUUCGUGCGAGGUUUUAGUUUGGAGGACUAUUACCAUAGACAUCCAUCUAAAAGUACUAGCGUGACCAAUUUUUCAUAGAAAACAUUCAUAGCUUUAAUAUAUAAAAAUUGUUGAUAAAUAAUAUAAAAAGUUAAUCUGAUCAGUUCAUGACAUGGUAUAAGAGUUUUUAAGUUCGAAAGGUUUUCAUUUCGAAUUUUGGUAUAACCCCAAUUCGUGCACAUGACUUAUUGAAGUUGUGCAAACAUUUACUCUUCUCCCUACAACAUGCAACGAUUGAAUCCGAUUUUUGGAGCCAGGGACAUUGCUUCCUAGAUCCGAUCCAGGAGCAAUAUGGGCCCUUGGAUUGUCACAUGAUCUACGGGUCAAGAUUAACCAAGGGCGAUAUGGUUUACAUAUUUUUGUUAGAUUAGAACACAACCAUCUUCUAUAGUCCGACCACCGUCUCAAUUUUAUUUUCUUGAAAUAUUUUCCAACGACCGGCAAUACAACUUUGUACGGAAAGUUAUACCGAUCAUACAUAUGUGUAAGGUUUGUAUAAACCCAUAUACAAGUGUGUGCACAUUUUUAUGGUUUUUGUAAAAAGUGUAAAUAUUAAUUUUUUUUUGAAGUAAGUGUAAAUAUUAAGUAUUAUAUUAAGUAUAAUGGCGGUAUAAUAUACUUGAUUUAUACAUUUGUAUGGUUAUGAACUAUCAAUUUUGCCUCAUAUUUUUAGCAGUAAGAUCUAAAACACGAUUUUUAGACGAUUGAGAUUUAGGUGGGUAUUCUGAAUUCGAGAAGCCAUAACUCUGGCUCCAUAUACGGAGUUGCAACAGUUCAUGAUUAAGGUUAGUCUGGAAUAAUUAACGACUCUUAAACCGGAUCAACUAACAAUGAACUGCUCCUAAACAAAUUCAAUUCAAGUGAAAUCAGUGGCUGAUAUACGAACCUGAAUCGGUACAGUCGCGGUAAAGGGACUCAACCAUGGCGGUGACCUCAUCCUCUCGAAUCGGGCGCAGCCCUUCCAAUCGCUUUGGAGUGAACAGCUCAACCGUGCAGACCUUCCUCACCUUCACGUAGUGCGGCCCAUAGUCAGCCCAAAUCAGAUCUUGACCGUCGCGGCUGAACCUCGCCGUCGACCUGGUCCGGUGGCGGUCAGCGAGCUGCUGGUCGUGCUCCUUGAGUACCUCCUUAGCAAGCUGGGUGUUGGAAACGACGACGUUGAGCGUGGAUCCGAACCAGACGGAGAUAAUCGGCCCGUACUGGUCCGCCCAUUCGGCAAAGCAGCGGAAUCUGACGGGCUUGAUGUCGUAGAGGUUUCCGACGACCGGGAGCGGACGGGGACCCGGAGGAAGCUUGAAUCGGAGGCGGUAGAUGAGAAAGUAAGCUAAGGGGAGGGAUGCGAUGAGGGAGAAGACGAUUGCGAUUAGAGGGAGCGCCAUCGAAGUUUGGUUUUAGUGUUCUUCUUCGUCUGUCUCCGAUUGAAUUGUGGAGAAGAUAAGGGGCGAUCGGCGGAGAGGAGAUGUGAUUUUUUUCUGGGUAGUUGGUAGAACGAGCGGUCUCAAAAGUCCCACGCGAAAUCAUAGACCAACUACCCAAGAACUAACUCUGCUAAUAUCAAUAGCUCCAGAAUAAAGACUGAAAAUGAAAUGACAUUCAAUGGGAAGACAACGAUGGCCGUGAUGGCAACUAUGGAGGGUAAUAUCUUAGGAAGAUUUCAGAGUUCAGAGUGGACGAUUGAAUCCUUAAAACACAACUAUGAAGAGAUCAUGAGAAGAUUCAUCUGAGCCAAGCUAAUUAGAAAUUAAUCCGCUCAUAACCUCUGAAUACAAAUAUAUAUUGAAUCUCAUGAUCAAUGUAGUUGCAUUUGAAUAAUGGAAAUUCUAAUCAAUUAUUUAUAAAAUAUCAAUAUUUUUUAUGAUUUUUUUAUGAAUCUAGGAAAAUAUAAAAAAAAUUAUAUGAUAUGGAAGAAAGAAUAAUAUUAAAUAUAUUUUAGACGAUGGUGUAUGAGUUAUCUCUCACUAUCUGGUGUUGUCAACAUAAAGAUACCACUUCAAUUCUAUAAUAUAUCAUCACGAUUAGGUCAUAAGUUGAUGCAUAAUUUUAUCUUUCCAAAACCUUCAAUUCCAUAUUUUGAUCAAAUCAAACAAUGGAGAUGGCACCAUAAAAUACCAUUUUGAUUCCAUGAGAUAUCACCACAAUGUAGUAGAUACUUCUAACUAUUUGACGUUGUUGACGGAAAGAUAUCAUAAUAAACCGCUCACACUUCAUCAGAUAUCACCACCAUGUAGUAUGUACCUCUAACUACCUGGCGUUGUUGACGAGAAGAUAUCAUAAGAUACAACUCCAACUCCAUCAGAUAUCACUACGAUGUAGUAGAUGCAUCUAACUAUCUGAUGUUGUUGACGAGAAGCUACCAUAAAAUACCGCUCCAACUUCGUGACACAUCACCACGAUGUAGUAGGUCCCUUUAACUAUCUGACGUUGUUGACGGGAAGAUACCAUAAAAUACCACUCCAAUUCCAUGACACACCACCACGACGUAGUAAGUACCUCUAACUAUCUAACGUUGUUGACGAAAAGAUACCAUAAGAUACCACUCCAAUUCCAUGACACAUCACCAUGACGUAGUAGGUACCUGUAACUAUCUGGCAUUGUUGACGGGAAGAUAUCAUAAGAUACCACUCCAAUUCCAUGACACAUCACCAUGAUGUAGUACGUACCUCUAACUAUAUGGUGUUGUUGACGGGAAGAUACCAUAGGAUACCACUCCAAUUCUAUGACAUAUCACCACGAUAUAGUACGUACCUCUAACUAUCUGGCGUUGUUGACGGGAAGAUAUCAUAAGAUACCACUCCAAUUCCAUGACACAUCACCACGAUGUAGUACAUACCUCUAAUUAUCCGGUAUUGUUGACGGGAAGAUAUCAUAAGAUACCACUCCAAUUCCAUGACACAUCAUCACGACGUAGUAUGUAUCUCUAACUAUUUGGCAUUGUUGACGGGAAGAUACCAUAAGAUAUCACUCCAAUUCUAUGACACAUCACCACAAUGUAGUAGGUACCUCUAACUAUCUGGCGUUGUUGACGGGAAGAUAUCAUAAGAUACCACUCCAAUUCCAUGACACAUCACCAUGACGUAGUAGGUACCUGUAACUAUCUGGCAUUGUUGACGGGAAGAUAUCAUAAGAUACCACUCCAAUUCCAUGACACAUCACCAUGACGUAGUAGGUACCUGUAACUAUCUGGCAUUGUUGACGGGAAGAUAUCAUAAGAUACCACUCCAAUUCCAUGACACAUCACCAUGACGUAGUAGGUACCUGUAACUAUCUGGCAUUGUUGACGGGAAGAUAUCAUAAGAUACCACUCCAAUUCCAUGACACAUCACCAUGACGUAGUAGGUACCUGUAACUAUCUGGCAUUGUUGACGGGAAGAUAUCAUAAGAUACCACUCCAAUUCCAUGACACAUCACCAUGACGUAGUAGGUACCUGUAACUAUCUGGCAUUGUUGACGGGAAGAUAUCAUAAGAUACCACUCCAAUUCCAUGACACAUCACCAUGACGUAGUAGGUACCUGUAACUAUCUGGCAUUGUUGACGGGAAGAUAUCAUAAGAUACCACUCCAAUUCCAUGACACAUCACCAUGACGUAGUAGGUACCUGUAACUAUCUGGCAUUGUUGACGGGAAGAUAUCAUAAGAUACCACUCCAAUUCCAUGACACAUCACCAUGACGUAGUAGGUACCUGUAACUAUCUGGCAUUGUUGACGGGAAGAUAUCAUAAGAUACCACUCCAAUUCCAUGACACAUCACCAUGACGUAGUAGGUACCUGUAACUAUCUGGCAUUGUUGACGGGAAGAUAUCAUAAGAUACCACUCCAAUUCCAUGACACAUCACCAUGACGUAGUAGGUACCUGUAACUAUCUGGCAUUGUUGACGGGAAGAUAUCAUAAGAUACCACUCCAAUUCCAUGACACAUCACCAUGACGUAGUAGGUACCUGUAACUAUCUGGCAUUGUUGACGGGAAGAUAUCAUAAGAUACCACUCCAAUUCCAUGACACAUCACCAUGAUGUAGUACGUACCUCUAACUAUAUGGUGUUGUUGACGGGAAGAUACCAUAGGAUACCACUCCAAUUCUAUGACAUAUCACCACGAUAUAGUACGUAAAAAAANNNNNNNNNNNNNNNNNNNNNNNNNNNNNNNNNNNNNNNNNNNNNNNNNNNNNNNNNNNNNNNNNNNNNNNNNNNNNNNNNNNNNNNNNNNNNNNNNNNNNNNNNNNNNNNNNNNNNNNNNNNNNNNNNNNNNNNNNNNNNNNNNNNNNNNNNNNNNNNNNNNNNNNNNNNNNNNNNNNNNNNNNNNNNNNNNNNNNNNNNNNNNNNNNNNNNNNNNNNNNNNNNNNNNNNNNNNNNNNNNNNNNNNNNNNNNNNNNNNNNNNNNNNNNNNNNNNNNNNNNNNNNNNNNNNNNNNNNNNNNNNNNNNNNNNNNNNNNNNNNNNNNNNNNNNNNNNNNNNNNNNNNNNNNNNNNNNNNNNNNNNNNNNNNNNNNNNNNNNNNNNNNNNNNNNNNNNNAGAGUUUAUUUAUAAGGAAAUUACAUAUAAACUCAAUCAAGUAAAAUAAAAAAUAUUUUAUGCAUGGUAAGAGUAACAGAAAAUCAAAUAUAUAAUCAUAUCUUAUAAUUAAUAUACUCACACACAAUCUUAUCAUCAUAUAUAAUAAAUUCCCCUCUAUAUAUAUAAAACUUUGCCAACUUAAUCAAACAAAUUAUAAACACCACACCAAGAAAAAAAAAAGAGAAGGAGAAGUUCGAAACCAUGCCGUUUUACCGUCAUGAAUUGGCCGUCGCCGCCGUACUCUUCCUCCUCCUCCUCCUCUCAUGCAGCUACUCCGCACACGCCGCGGAUUUCUGCGUAGCCGAUCUAUCUCUACACACCGCAUCCGGCUUUGCGUGCAAGGACCCCGCCAAAGUUACCGCCGGCGACUUCAUCUUCACCGGAUUAGCCCAACCAGGCAACACCAGUACUAAUCCCUUCGGGGCAGUUGCUGCCUUGGCCAUCGUCCAGCAAUUCCCGGCCGUGAAUGGCCUGGGAAUCUCAAUGGCCCGUGCAGAUUUCGCUCCCGGCGGAGUGUUCCCGGUGCACACCCACCCGGCGGCGACGGAGAUGAUCUACCUGCUGGAGGGGACCCUCACGGCGGGGUUUAUCACCGGCGGGACGAACAAGGUGUAUCUGAAUACGAUCAAAAAGGGGGAAGUGGCGGUGUUCCCCAAAGGGUUACCGCAUUUCGUAGCGAAUGCCGACACCACCAGUCCCGCUGUGGUGCUGGUGGCGUUCAGCAGUCCGGAACCGGGGUUUGUGUUGUUCAAUUUAGCUCUCUUUGGGAAUGAUCUUCCGUCGGCGUUGGUGGAGAAGUCCACCGGCAUUGCUCAAUCUGAAGUGAAAAGGCUCAAAGCUCUUUUCGGUGGUUCUGGCUAAUGAUGAUGUAUCUCUUCAGUUCAGUAUUUUUUUCUUAAUCUAUAAAACCUUUAUUAUUAAAUUUUUGUAGUUUUGAUGAUCGAGAUCCGCGAAAUUUAAUUUCACUAAAAAAGACUAAUAUCGUGGGAACUUAUACUUAUGUGAUGACUUUCGUGCCUCGUAAUUGGAGUUUUGUGUUCAUUGUCGAUCGUGGUUGCGUGGCCCGCCCUGUUAAUACACAAGGGUACCUUAGUGGCGCAGUUGUGAAAAUGUAACAAGGUCCAUUAUUUUUUCUACUAUUAAAUCAAUUGAGGUAACCUUUGGCUGUACCCAUAAUUCAGAACUUCCAUAUCUAUGAUUGAAUCUAUGAUUGAUUAACCAAGUAAAUUUCCCAUAAUUAAAAUGUUCUAUAAUUGAUUUUAAUUAUCAUCAAUCAAGUUUCCUUUUUCCCCUAUUUAUUUAAUUGCCCCAUUCUCUAGAGUCUAGAAGCAUGGGAAAUUGUCAUAGUAUUAUUCCUUAGUAACUGUCUCACAUAUAUUUUAUUAUGAAUUCGUAUCGGAAAAGUAAAAUUUUCAAUACUCAAAGCCUUACCAAAUAUCACCCUCCUACACAUGAAAAUAACCUAAUUUAUUUUCUAGCACAACAUUCAUCAAAUUUCCUACCUUUGUCCUCUUCAUUACACCAAAAAUAAAACUCAACAAAAAGAUGAAUUUUGUAGGUUUUUCAAAUUAUUAUUUAUCUUCAUGAAGUUUACAAAUUGAUUGACGAUAAUUAAUAAUCAAAUCAGAAGUUAUAUAUUUACACUAAAAACCACACCACAUUUAUGCUUUCCAAAAUUACAUUAAAAAGGUAGAUUUUCCAACACUCCACAAUGAAAGAAUGAUCUAUGUCUAGUUGUGACACAAAGAAACAGAAUGAUGCUAUGGUAUACAUACAUUAACGAGGAGGGUUGGCCAACCGGGUAACGGAAAGUACCCAAUCCCACAGCCCAAAAACCGGUUGCGUAGUGGGUACCUGUUUUCGACAAUGGUUCGAGUGGCAGCAAAAUUUACAGACAAAUCAACAACCAACAAUAUCAGAAGUCAAUAUCUAUCAAGAAGUAUGAUUCAAAAAGAUAGCUGCGAAUUGUGAAGACUACCGACUCUAUAUCGAGCUGGGUUGUGCAUCGAACAUCGUGUAGUUGCUGAGAAUGGAGUUCUAUAAGGCCUGAAUGUGAGCAAGAUCAUUGUAUCAGAAGAAGUUGACAAAGGAGAGAAACCAAAACAAAAGCAGGAAGAGUGAAAUCUCAAAGGCACCUCAUUUACAAGCUGGAAGCCUGGAAUCAUUCUUAGGGUCACUUUUCAAGAGCACAUACACACUUCUAGAGACUUCGGUGCAACUUUACUGGAAUUUCACAACCCACAUGAAUGGAUAUCAGAGAUUAAUCAGUUGCAACCAAUCAAACAUAAAGGUCAUGUUGCUAGGGAUCUAAUCUCGGCGAAGAACCUCUUGACAGAAAAUGCACAAACCUUGUAGCUUUAUGUACGAUAUUUCCAUAAGCCUAAGUCUUGAAACCAGAAAUAGCAUGAAUGCUAAUCUCCAACAAGUCGCCUCCUUGAUGUACGCUACAACACAAGAGUCCCGAAAUUACAUAAGACUGUCAGCCUGUUAUUUUUAUGUUAAAUUCAUAUUGUGAAAUGUUCAGAAGAAACGUCCCAUGUCAAAAACCACAACUUGAAGUAAAAACUAAUAAACAAUGCAUCCUAAACCGUCCUUGUAUAACUUUUGAUACUUCAUGACAGCUAGAACAUUACAUCGUUCACAGCAGAGUUAUUCAGGUUAUAGACAACAUGUUGAAAGUAUUAGAAUACUGAUUACUGCUCCCUUCACAACUACUAAUCAGCCAUACCCAUCAAUAAUUGAUAUAACUUCAGUAAAGAACAAGAUUACCUGCUUAGGAUGUGAUGAUGAUGAUAAUGUGAGUAGUGUUGCUUGGCCCACAGAACCCGUUUCUGCAAAUUAUUACACCAGAGCUCAGCCUCUAACACAGAUGGAUCAAAGAGGACGGCUGCAUACAAAGAUGAACAGGUUCAAUUUAUCCAAAUCACCAAAUGUUUAGCUACAGAUGACACAAGGAAUAUAAUUCUUGAUAACAGAGACAAAUAACGGAUUACCUCCUAAAAAAUGGUAUAUCAGGUUUUGGAUCCAGAUAAUCUGCAUAUGUGACUAAGAAACAGUCAGCAGCUCCUCUAAAUCAUUACCCCAAGCCUUCUCUUCCUCCAGGUUGACCAUGACAUCAUCUUCAGAGAGUCCAAUUCAAUCUCAAUUGUAAGGUCUCUAAAAUUCUGUUAAGGUGGCUAUAUCAUAUCCAAACAACUCAAUGUCCCCGUAAGAGGAACUUUGUUGUUCUGUGAAGGUAACUAUUUAAAUCAUAUCCAUGUGCUUCCAUCCGGUGUAAGAGACUGAGUGCUACAUCAUAACUUACAUCUUUCGAGCGAAGAAGGGAUUUAAGUAGCUGGUUGCAAAUUCGAGGCUUCAACAAAAAGCCCUUUUCAAUUGUGUAAUUGAAAACACCAACUGCAAGGUCUAGUUUCCCUUGUCUGCAAAGACCUUCUAUUAAGUUUACACAGCUUGGCGGAGUAAUAACAACGUUGCAUUUAUCAAGAACAGAGAAUACCGUAGACGCUUCUUCUAUUCUUCCGGACUGACACAGCCCAAUUAACCAGAUCAUAUAUGGGGCUAACUGAAAAUCAUUCAGCCUCAGGUCCAUCUCAAGUAAGCUUUGAAUUGCUACUACAGUUUCUCCAUUCUGAAAGAGCUCUUCUAUCUUUUCGAUUGCACCAGUCUCCCUGGCAGCAACGCUCCUCAGAUACUUUAACCAAAGACUAAAGGCUGAAGUCACAUUCUUUCCCCUGCAUGACCAAGUCAUAAGUGAUUUAUACACUGCUGUACUUGGUAAACAACCACUACUCGACAUUUGCUUAACCAUUUGAUCAGCUUCCUUUUGUCUUCCCAGCCGUAAAAGCCCAUUUAUCAGGGUUCCAUAUGUCACAGAAUCCGGUGCUAGACCACUAAGCGGCAGCUCAUUGAAGAGCCUAUAAGCUUCAUCAAUGUUCCCUGCUUUGCAGCAAUAGUUUAUCAAAAUGUUAUAAGUCCUAAUGUCAGGUACAACUUUCUUGUCAAGUUGCAGAAGAGUGUUGUAUACCUUCAGAAUCAAACCAGGUUCAUAAUUUUCCUGUAUUUUCUUCAUGCUAUCACGACCAAGACCCGAGAGUCGCAUAGACAGAAAAUCAUUCCUCAUCUCCUUUCUGCGUAAUGCUUCGUCAAGUUUCCCUGAUCGACACAGACCAUCAAUAAGUGCAUUAAAUGCAACCACAGAAGGAAAGCAUCCAACUUUACCCAUAUAGUCAAACAGUCGUUGAGCUUCUACAGUCAUCCCAUUCUUGCUCAUCCUGCUAAUAAGGAUCGUGUGUGUAUAAGCAGAAGGCAAAUAUCCAUGCUUCGAGAUCUUCAAAGAAAGCGCCUUUGCUACAUUAAGAAGCCCAAUAUCGCAAAGGCCUUUGAUCACAACAUUAUAACAUUGAAUAUCAGGAACCGGAGCACUCUUCGACAUCUCAUUCAACAACUUUAAAGCCUUGCUCGCCUUUCCUGCAUUCAACAAGCCUUUAAUCCAUACAGUGUAUAAGACAACAUCGGGAGUAUUGUGAUUCUCGAUCAUUUCACGAUGCCAUGUAUCUGCUUCUUCGUAUCUUUUAGCCCUAAUGAGCCCGUCAAUCAGACAGCUAUAUCCACGAGCGUCGAGUACAUAUCCUUCUUUACGAAAGGAUGUCAAGGAAUCGAGAGCUUCAUCUACUCUACCUAACUUACAAUAUCCAGUAAGCAAAGCAUUAAAAGUAGCGGAAUCGGGUUCGCAGCCUUUACUUCUCAUCUCAUCAAGCAACCUAUGUGCAACAUCAACCCUCUGGGCCUGGCACCAAGCCGAAAUGACCAUGGUGUAUACGAUUUUAUCAGGCAGGAUCCCCCUCUUCCCCAUUAUAUCGAACACCUGGAGUGCGCUUUUCCUCUCCCCACACUUAAACAAUCCACCAAUCAAGAUGGUGAAAGUAGUCCUAUUGGGAAUGCAAUUCAGGUUCCACAUUUGAUGGUAAACAGCUACAGCAAGUAAAGAAACCCCUUUCCGCAACAGAGUCUUCAGAAAUGCAUUGUAAGUAAGAACAUCUGGCUUACAAUCGAAAUCUCGCAUCACCCCAAAAGAUUCCACAGCCUUCUCAGCCAUGCCUUUCUUCUCAUAAGCUUGAAUCAAAACUGAGAAAGCCUCAGGUGGAACCUCGAGUUUCCAGCUCUUCAUUUCGUCCAAAACCUGAUUGUACAAUUCGAUACCUCUCUCUUCGCUCAGCAUCCGGAGUAUGACGUCCCGAGAUUCCCAAGUGCGGAAACGCUUGUAUCUGGACGCCCAGAUGAAGAAUCGGAAACCUAAUUGCGGAGUGGGCGGGUCUUGAAUGACGGAAGUUACGUCAGCAGGGGAGAGGAAAGGAACCAUGGCGUCCAGCUCCGGCUCCAUCGGAUUGACAGUCUCGAUAAUCGAUACGAUUUCAUUUGAUACAGUGGUUUCUGAUAACGAGGAAGCUGCAUGGAAGUAGUUGAUCCAUGGAAGCUUCCGAUGCGAGAUCCGGUGAAGCAGGAACAGGAGUUGCAUUGGUUUAUGGCAAUAAGAAGUAGUAAAUUCUAAUGAUACCGAUAAAGACGAUCACCCGGAAAUGGCCGGCGGGGAGGAGGAAUCUGCGUAGGCAGUUUUCUGAGGAGUGCGAGUGGCCGCCGGCGAAACAGUGUGGAGAAGCUUUGGUUUAGCAUACAUCUGUUUGUGGAAUGCGGCUCCGGUGCGAGUUGGCCUACACUGCACCAUCAGGGAAAGAGAUGAUAGUGUAGUUGGAUCGGGUUAAAUUUUAGGCCCGGGAUUCUGGCCCAGUUACAGCGGCCCAUGCUAACUAGUGUUUCGGCCUCUUCGGGGUAAACCGGGUAUCCACAAAACAAUUCCAGAGAUUUUUAUGCCGUGAAGGAAUUUUUUGCUUUUUAACAAAAACAAUCUAAUGGUAAUUCUUAUGGUAGAAGUCUUUCGCAAUCGACGAACAUCGUGUCUAACAAAAAGUGUAUAGAUCACAAGUAUUUUACAAGUAAAAUCGACCUCAAUUUUUACUUUUUAUAAAGCAAAAAUAUUAAAAAUCGAAUGAAGCGAAAUAACAAAAAAUGAAAACAAGUUUAAAAACUAAGAACAAAAGAAAAAUCUAACAAAUUUGGACACAAGUAGCAGCAUCCUAAUUUGCAUUCUAAAAAAGACUAGGAUCUUAACCGUUUCAUCGUUCGAACUUAGAGAGCCAGCCCGGUCACUACUGACUAACCAGCUGGUGGCGCCCCCUUACAGAUCCUAAACUUUUUUGGUGAGGAAAAUACCCACCACAUACAUGAUACAACUCGUACUCUCGGACAGGCGGCUUCUCGAUCAGCUCCACGAGGAACCUCGCCUUUUCCACAAAGUCAGUAAGCGCCAAAUUAGCAACCUGUUUCUUCAUGGUGGUCGUGGUCUUCAUAGCAAUCGGACGAUCGAAGUGCGAUGAUAGUGCGAGCAGAAAAGAGAACCAAUCCGCAGCUUUGGUCCAGGCUUGGGUCUUCUCGACAAUAGUUUGUCGAUAUGUCGUGCUGAUUUUUUAUCGGUUGUUCAAACCGGUCCGAUAAGUUCGACCCGAAGAACUCGAAUUUUGGAGGUAGGAUUACUUAUGUUGAUAAUAUACUCUUAUAUUUAUUAUCAUUUCUCUUGAACGUUGACUUGCUUUUGGGAAUAGUGUAUAUGCAGGCAUCUCGUGAGGAGCCGAAAUAUAUUGAAGUGUCGGCGAUAUCACUUGAAAGACGCAAAGAUAAAAGAACAGUAGAUGCGAGGCGAUAGAAAUUUCUGACGCGAAAUAAGAAAACCUAUGAGAGUUUACUCGAAUCAAUUUUCGGGUGUUGUUCUCGUACUAUUUUUAGGACUUCGGUUGAAUGGUUCUUUAGGUUCUUAGCAUGGUUGAUGAUGUUAGGGUUGAUUUUGUUAGAACAUUUAUAAUAGACUAGAUUGGAUGCCGCACGAUAUCGCGAAACAUUAGCUUGAUUAUGAUUAGAUGUUAUGCACAUGUGCUUAAGUAAUCGUAUGUAAGCUUGAAUGUGAUAUAAAGAAUAUAAUGUAAGGUACGAAAACAAUUUUUUUCAAUUCGACUGAGAUGGAUGAAUUACGAAGAGUAAGAUACUUAUGAAUUGUUAGCCAACAGCUAUUGACACAAGCGAGUUUGAAACAUUUCCUGGUUAAUGUGGGUGUUUGUUUUGUUCUGUUGGCAUCAUUACUGCUCGCAAAACUACCACCAUUUCACUUCAAUCUACGAAUCUCGAGAAUUCGAAUUAGAUUCGCAAAAUUGGGAACAGCAUGAAGAACGAAGAAGAAGGUUGAAGUAUCAACACGGGAGGCUAAAAGUAUGACCUACAACUUUAUGAACUCUCUGAGCUUGCAAUGACCCCAAGAAACCCUUCAUUUCAUAUCUUGGGACUUCUUUAAAGCAUUGAAGACAUCUUGUAGGGUUAAUUCCUCCACUAUAACCACCUUGUCUCUUGAUUUCGAGCCCGCCCCAAGGGACACCUGCCUUCUUUUCACCCCUAAUACCUGUUCGGAGCGAUCAAGAAAGCCGAACUCGUGAAAAUGGCUGGUAGAACAAAGAAACAGAUACUGUAAUAAGGAUGCCACAAGUUCAUAGCUUAAUUAACUACUAAUUACCAAGGCGGCUUAGUAGCUUCUAUUAAGACCGAGUUGCAGAGGAUAACUAAACAACCUAAACUGUCACGAAGAUACGAUCAUCAACCAGAUCAUAUGUUCCUUCUUCAAGAAAGGCAAGCAGGCAAAAAAGUGAAACCAUGGGUUUACUGGUACAUUACUCAAACCAGAAGUAAAUUCAACAUCUUGGUUAAGCUAAUGAGUUCAUUGACACCUAGUCUAUAUUCUAUGUUGCAGAUCGAUGCUGCUCCACUAGCAAUUGCAUAAAAAAAGCCACAGAUAAUAACACUACUACAGCAGGAUCACCAGCUCAAGUCAAAUCAUUUCUAUAGUUAAAACUUAAAAGAAGAGGUUGUAGUCAUGCAGCAAAUUCUCUCCGAUUCUCACAAAGUGAAGAUUGGAAAUUUAGCAGAUUAGUGAAAGCUAAGCUUACAGAGCUGAUGUAAUCAAGAAGAGCUGCGUUGGCUUCACCGUCCUUGGCAAGGGCGUCGAUCUGCACUCCUAAAGCUUCGUCACUGAAAUCUAUCUUCACAGAAUCAAACCCCAAGACGAACAAUUCAGACGCCAAUACAAGAACCAGAGAAACCCAGAAAAAAGAUCAGAGGAAAACACAAAACCCUACCUGUGAUGGAUGCCGAUUUAGCGCCGGGCUUCGCGUGGAUGGUGAUGGCCACUGACGACGGAGGUACCGAUCGAAUACAUGAGGGGAAAUCGGAGGAAGGUUUUGGUUCUGAUUUUUGCAACGGAGCUGAGUUCGCCUUUCCUUUACCUUUCUUGCUCGAAGGAGCCAUUGUUGUUCAAGCUCUGUUCGAUGAUCUCUUCCUCCUCGUUUUGUAGCUCAGCAGCUUUGCAUUUUAGUGCCCCGGUUUGUGUAAAAAUCACAAAAUGAUCCCUUUUCUUCUUCAAAUUUACAUUUUGAUCACUACAUACUAACCCGACCGGUUUACCACAACCUCACUCGAAAACAUCUAAGAGCCAAUUUAACUGCAAAAAGCAUCUUAUGAUCACUGAAUUCACUAAUCAGUAUGCUGCAAUCAGAGUUGAAACUAUAAAGUACAAACCCAUUUCAUUGAAAAUAAUAACAGGAAAAUUCUGCAGCUUAGUAGACUCAAUUGUGUACAUAUGGAUGGGAUCUUCACUCUUACAUGGAAACAUCAGUUUACUGCUGCCAGUAUUCUUCUUCACUCGCUCACUUCAGAUAUCUGUUAGAGAUGUACUCAGCGAUAGCCAUGCUUGAGGUCAGGCCAGGAGACUCGAUUCCAAAGAGGUUCACAAGUCCAGGAACUCCAUGGCUAUUCUCUCCCUGCAUACCAGAACAUAACAUAUAAGGCUGAGAUUGUAACGCAUCGAUAAAAGAGGAGUUGAAGGAAAUCACCUGUAUUAUGAAGUCACCAGCAGCCUCGCCAGGGCCAGUUACUUUCGGUCGAAUCCCUGAAUAACCUGGCUCUAAUGAUCCAUCCUUCAGAUUUGGAUAGUACUUCCUUAUCUCAGGAUAAAAUCUCUCUGCUUGACUUGUAUCUACAGAGUAAUCGUACCUGAAAUCAGUAACUCUGUGUUAAAGGAGCCGCAUAGCAUCACAAACAGGACUUGUAUCUUGCCAGAAUUAGACUAAAAUGGCGCGGAACAAAGAUCAAAGAAAAGACUUACUGAUCUAGAAAGCUCGCAACAUCAUCGAUCGCUCGGAUCCAUUCAACAUUGGGGCCAAACUUAACCUGACCAUCCAAAUCAAGAGUAACGUGCACACCUAAACCACCAUCCUCUGGUGUAGGGUAUAUCAAAUGCUUGAAAGGAGGUUCCCUAGUAUUCGACAGGGUGAAGUACAGCCCACGAGCAAAAUGUGCAGGAGGAAUCACUACGCCACUUAUGCCGUCAAAUCUCCUUGCAAGGGGUAUAGCACUCAAUCCAGCAGAGUUCACCACAAGCUUAGGAGCAAGCACAAACUCUGGAUCCAGCUUUGAAUUACCAUCCCAGUUCUCAAGUUCUUUGCUCCCAGUCACUUGUAAGUUCAAUGAAUCCCCUUCAAUAUUCCCCCCAAUCACAGUAGAGUUGUAAGAGAAUGUUGUUCCAUGGUUUUCAGCAUCUCCCUAGUAACUGUGAAUAUAGAAUCAUAUUCUUUCAUCUGGGAAUUCAAUAACUGAUUACUCAAAUUGAACGAUUCUACACCUACAACCAAAAGCCUUAACAGUAAAGAAAGCAUCAGAGAGUGACAAUCAACAAUCCCAGAACCAGGAGAGAAUAAAGCCUUGACGCAACGCAAUUCAGGCUCCAUUUCCAUGGCUCCUUUCCCAUCCAGCAUCUUCAACCCUUCGACCCCGUUUUCAACGCCGCGAUUCAUCAGAUCGGACAGCUUCGAAACCCCAGACUCCCCGGUGGCGACUACCAUCUUCCCUAUCCGUUCGUGAGGAAUCCCGCGCUCCGAGCAGUAAUCGUACAGCAAUCUCCUCCCUUGUACGCAGAAGGCUGCCUUGAGUGAGUUCCGAGGGUAGUAGAUCCCGGCGUGAAUGACUUGGCUAUUCCUUGAGCUCGUGGAGGCGCCGAAGGUCGGAGCUGAAUCGACAACCAGAACUUCUCUUCUUCCCUUCAAAGCGAGCGCUCUAGCUACUGCUAUCCCUACUACGCCUGCUCCGAUCACCACGCAAUCGACCUUCUCUAUGGUAGAAUUGGCAGCUUCCCUGGAGAAAGUAGAAGAGCUGUAGAUUUUCUUCAGUAACUUCGUCAUCAUCUUUACCGAAUCGAGAUGAGCUUGGAGCUAAAGUAGAACUGUGUGGAGUAGUGGGAUAAACAUUACAGUGGCAUGGUAGCAAGAACUGGUGAAUUACAUUUAUAGUCAUUGAAGUUCAUCAAGAUACCAUUUUGGUGAAUUAUGUUUACCAAAAUUUGGCGAACUAGUCUACAAGUAUAUGAUCACUGAAGUUUGCCUUAAUACCAUUUUGGUUAUUAUGUUGAGCAAACAUUAC
Molecule: long non-coding RNA, 15255 nt
Filed under: Linum usitatissimum (flax)
Lineage: Eukaryota; Viridiplantae; Streptophyta; Magnoliopsida; Malpighiales; Linaceae
Description: long non-coding RNA (LUSI_LNC007545)
Source: RNAcentral